This 433-nucleotide ribosomal RNA is filed under the name uncultured bacterium. Its description in RNAcentral is "partial 16S ribosomal RNA". It matches the Rfam family "Bacterial small subunit ribosomal RNA", at positions 29 to 507 of the family's 1533-position model. The record is from RNAcentral.
AACGAACGCUGGCGGCAUGCCUAACACAUGCAAGUCGAACGAGACCUUCGGGUCUAGUGGCGCACGGGUGCGUAACGCGUGGGAACCUGCCCUUAGGUUCGGAAUAACUCCCCGAAAGGGGUGCUAAUACCGGCUAAUAUCUUCGGACCAAAGAUUUAUCGCCUUUGGAUGGGCCUGCGUUGGCUUAGCUAGUUGGUAGGGUAAAAGCCUACCAAUGCGACGAUACAUAGCUGGUCUGAGAGGAUAAGCAGCGACACUGGGACUGAGACACGGCCCAGACUCCUGCGGGAGGCAGCAGUGGGGAAUAUUGGACAAUGGGCGAAAGCCUGAUGCAGCAAUGCCGCGUGAGUGAUGAAGGCCUUAGGGUUGUAAAGCUCUUUUAUACGGGAUGAUAAUGACAGUACCGGGAGAAUAAGCUCCGGCUAACUCCGUG